CACCUAUGACUGGUCAUCCAGGGAGAGGAGCAGGAUAUCUGGGUGCCUUCUGCCACAAAUCUCUCUUCAUUCCUGCCUAUUGGGCCUAAUUUAGUACAGACAGAUGAUGGAGAGAUAUGGGGAUUUACUCCGUAAAUUAUAUUGAAUUUGAAUAUUUGCAAUUCAACUAUUUAAGCCUAAAUUCAGUUUCCAAUUUGCUACAACUUGUUAUAUGUAGUCCAAGCUCCCUCAGUCUGCCACAGAGGAGGGUAAUGGCUCUUCUGUUCCCCAUGUUACUCUGGCUACCUAGAAACUUCUCUUCUGAACCUCACACAGGGAUGUAAAUAACAGGUGUGGGUGACUAAAUUUAAUAAUCCAGGGUCCCUGGGCAUGAAUACACAUGAAAGUUACAUUUCUUGCCUGCAACUCGCAGUAACAAAUCAAUAACAGCAGUCACCAGUUACAUCUUCAGCUAAGACGCCUGACUCCCAUCAGUCCCAGGCAGUCUGGGAAAUAAAUGUUCUGGUGCUGCUAAAAAGGUAUUAGUGAGUGUGUGUGUCAGUGUAGCACUCCACGGUUGCUGGAAUGCCAGAGAACAGACAAUCUAGUACUGACAGCUGUUAUGCAUUAAAAUUGCAAUAAGAAAUGUUUUAUUUAAAGAUACAUAAUGGUAAAGCAUGUGUUAAUGAAAAUAUAAUGGCAUCUCUUGGUUCUGGAGGCAUCCAUACACUACGUAAUCCUCCAUGUCAUUGUUUCCCAUUAUGCACUCUUUAUCAUUAUGUAUUCUCUCUCUCACUUUGUAUAUAUAAAGCUUGUGUGUGUUCCCAACAGGUGACUCAGAUGGACCACAAAUUGGAUGAAAUUUUACGUGUCUUCCGAGCUCAAUUGGUGCCAGAAGAGGAUCAGCUGCUUCCCAAAGAGCAGGCGUCCCCAGCCCUUCAUCGGCUGCACCCCUCUCACAGUUCCCCCACUCCCAGCCGCAGGUUCUGAGAACUAACCCUCAACUCUAACCAUCUCCUUAGGGAGACCGAGAGACUGAAUCUGACGGUGUCUGAAUUUUCAGCAGGAGCUGGCUCCUUUUGGGAUGAGAUGUUUACUCUCACAGCUUCGUGAGGCACAAAGCUCCAAUCAGCUACUCUCACUCACAGUUCGUACACGCUCCCUCUUCCAGUGCUUCCUGAGAGACUUCACUCUUACCCAUGGCCCACAAAGGCUGCCUUCACAUUUGUAAGGAACUGUACUGGUGAAUGUCUGGUACAUCUAUGUUAAUGUUGGUUCCAACAAUCAAGUCAUAAAGUACCAUUGUACAGUGCUACGGAAAUUUGCUGGCACUGUAUAAAUAAUAAAAUAAUCUAUACAUCAUCUAAUAACUUAAAGUUCUGCUUUUGAGAUAUAUAGUGGGUGCAGAACACAUAAUCCAGGAUAUUGAGUUCAGCUGAGAUAACCCAUUGACAUACACUAGCACAGGUAACCAGGUGCAGGUAGUUUUGUUCAUACUUUGGCAUUCAAUUUGCCUAAAUGGUAACAUCUUCAAUUCCUGUACAUACAAAUUCUACUGACCCUUAUUCAUUAAAAGUUAUGUAAGUCAAUAAUAUUUAGGUAGUGUACACCCCAUACAUUUAUAUAGUAAAGCAAAAUGUUUCUAGGUCUCAGAUAAUACCUACUAAAAUUUAUAUGAUAAAAUAUUGAGCUUAUAAUGAGCUAAGUGGAAGUUACCAAUUAAGAUGCUAAAAACCCACACCAUCCUGUUUAUAGUGUCAGUAAUGCUGUCACGGAGGUGCAAUUGUUACAAAGAAUAGUUCCCCAUUAAUCCAAAAUGACAUUGGGUAAAUAGUUAUGGUAAUUUCAUGACACAACACACACACGUACCUAAUCAAUGCAUUUCUAUUUAUCAGGAUUGUAGACAUGCUCGCCUUAUUUCCACCUCAUGUGACUGCCACCCCACUACUUACAACAGCAGACAUACUCCCCAUCACCAACCAGGACAUUUAAGGCACAAGAAUAAAAAGUAGUGUUUCAGAGACUGCAUAUGAUAAUGAAUAACUAAGAUUAAAUGAGGUUUAUGUCACCUUGAAUAUUGUCAAUAUUAAUUAAAUCACUGUGGAGACCAAAGUUUUAUGCAAACAAGUCUGAAAGUGAAUAAUUAAAGGCUAUAUAGAAGACCAUAGUUGUGUCAUUGUGCUCAUUAUCCAGUUAGGGACAUAAGUAGGCAAAGGCUAGUCCUGGGCCUAGAGCAAUAGGUCUUUCCCUGUUCGUUUUUUGUUCUAGCAAUGUACUGCUUCUUCCUAAAGCAACCACCUGUUUCCUUGUACUUGGCCUGUUCCAUGUUCUCUGCUGCCACCAACUCAAAAAACCUGCUCCAGUGAUGGAAGCCUGGAAUUCACAGACAUAGUCCUUUACAAGUAUUAUCAUUAGUAACCCGCAUUUCCAUUUUACAUUGUCUGCUGCUAAAAUUAAUGGUUGCCAGGAUGCAAAAUCAUAUGUAGGCACUCAGUAUGCACUGUGAUACUGUGUGAAGAGGAGAAGAAAAGAGUUUGCACUAGCUGAUGCCAACUCCACUCAAUACCACAGUUGACAAAGGCAAACUACCAGGGGAACAGUUGGAAUAUUGCUCAAUUAAAUGUAUGGUUGUAACUGUCUACGUAUGUAUGUUUGUCAGGUUAAUCUACUUAGAAAGUAUGUGUAUGUCUAUGAAUUAGUCGGUGUGUUUCUAACAAGGUUAUUUACUAAAGUAAGAAUUGUCAGAAACCCAAAGGGAAUUUGAAAAAAAAAUUCAAACUUAAGGCCAAAAUAUGUGAAUUGAAAAUAUUCUCCAAUUCAACUAUACUUCCAGUUUGGCUACUUUGGUCUAAAAUGUGAAAUUUGGGGGGCAGAGCCUGAAUGUUGGACAGACCAGACUGGCUCAGCACGAGCUCCCACGCUUGGUACAGAAUAUCGGGGCAUACUACCUGACCACUCAUUCCUGCAGACUGGAGCCUACCUAAUUAUUGCCCGGGGAUGACACUGAACCCGGAGAUACCUAAGAUGGGCUUCCCCAGCCCUUGGACGCUUACCAGAGGCUCGCGGCCUAAGCGAGUAUAGGCAAGGGAGAGGUGGCCGCUCUCCUGGCUCUUAAAUGGACAGAGUAACCCGUGAAUUGCUAUCCCAAUCCCCCCUUUGGAUCGGCAGGGUUAUCUCGGUCCCUACUGACUGACCUCACUUACCUCCAACACCCACGGACGGUAGCUACUGUGUGGGCUCAGACGCUCCCCUUCAAAAUGGCAGAUGGACCUUCCUCAACAGAGCAAAGCAGGUUGCGAUCAAAACCAGUGUUACAAGCCGGAUUGGAGUAAUGCUUGGACAAGCUUUUUACCCACUUCUGGGCGCGACUGGAGGCGCAGAACAGGACUGCACCGGCUAGGAGAUAGGAGGUAGCAUGAGGAGGUGCAUGUGUGCCCCCUUCAGGCGCAAGUACCCAACAAGAUACAGCACCAUGCAGGCAUUGCCCACCUAGGCCGAGGGACGACAAGGGAACUCACCCACCAUAUCGGCCAAGAAAGAUCCAUCGCCGCAGGCGGCAUCAGAAUACCUGGAGCUUUUGUCACAUCCCAACCCAUCCGGGAAGGACUUGGACUCUGCCACGGGCCCCCGAGUCUGUGGUCUUAAAGUGCGGGCUCUCCACAUGGCCUAGGGCUGGAAAGAUACCACACAGUGCACUUGCCUACUAAUGCCUCAGGACUGCCCUCGCCUGUUUCUGAGUCUCGGUGUGGGUAGAGCAUAUUAACCUGGGUCCAGGACUGAUAACAUGUUGCCUGCCAAUAAUGAUUACUACCGACAUGAUCCUGCCUGUAUAUUAAAUAUCUGCCUUAUGUUUCCCAGUGCCUACUCUGUAAGAAAUUAAGACUCCCAUAAAGUGAUUAUGCAAUCAUAUUCAUGACGUGUUGUCACCCUAGCGAAGUCAUCAUGAUUGUCUGAGUUUACCUAGCACAGUUCACUACAGUUUCAGGGAGGGGGUCUCAGUGGUUUACCUAUCUUGUAAACCUAGCAGGGUGCACAACUGCACAACUGCACAACAUGCUCUCUCUUAUCUAAGCAUGUAAAUAUCACUACUGUUAUGAUGCUAAUCUCUCUUAUGUUAACCAGCCACUACGCCUUACUUUCUAUGUUAGUUUACAAAGUUGUUUAUAAUCCUGGGCAGCCCUGCCGUUUUUCUUCGCAUGUUCCAUUUAUUUUUAAUUUUAAUGCCACUAUUCUGUUUUGCAUGCACACAAUAUACUGUAGACAUGUUACGCACCCACGAGUACUCCAUAAUUAUGCAAAGCCUAUGCUUUACUUCUGAUAUGUCUAGCGGUUACCACACCUCAUGUCUACAUGCCCAGCUAUCUUAGCACAUACAGGUGUACUUUCCUGCAGCUAAUAUAACCUUAACCUUAAAAAAACGUGCUGUCUCAUCGAAAUGAAGCAAUGUGAUAUCUUUCAAUGUUCAUAACCUCAUGUAACAUGUUUCAUUGUGUAUUCUACAAUUUCUUGCAUUUGUUGUUGUGACAAUGCAGGAUGUUUUUGUUACUUAUGCACGACAAAAAUAAAGAUUUUCAAAAAAUAACAUUUGAAAUUCACCUUGAACUCCUGACAAAUCUCACUUUAGUAAAUACCCCUGUAAGUUUAGUUGUGUGUGCAUGGCUAAUAUUAAUUGUGUGUACAAGGCUAGCUAUGAACGGUUAGGUUCGGAAAUGUUUG
Pelobates cultripes (western spadefoot toad) is the source of this 4695-nucleotide non-coding RNA. NCBI's taxonomy places the organism in Eukaryota, Metazoa, Chordata, Amphibia, Anura, Pelobatidae. The record is from the annotation of a GenBank genome assembly.